GCAGUGGUGGUUCACUGGUAGAAUUCUCGCCUUCCAUGAAGGAGACCUGGGUUUGACCCCCAGUCAAUGCA
This 71-nucleotide transfer RNA is filed under the name Loxodonta africana (African savanna elephant). It matches the Rfam family "tRNA". From Rfam's summary of the family: Transfer RNA (tRNA) molecules are approximately 80 nucleotides in length. Their secondary structure includes four short double-helical elements and three loops (D, anti-codon, and T loops). Further hydrogen bonds mediate the characteristic L-shaped molecular structure. tRNAs have two regions of fundamental functional importance: the anti-codon, which is responsible for specific mRNA codon recognition, and the 3' end, to which the tRNAs corresponding amino acid is attached (by aminoacyl-tRNA synthetases). tRNAs cope with the degeneracy of the genetic code in two manners: having more than one tRNA (with a specific anti-codon) for a particular amino acid; and 'wobble' base-pairing, i.e. permitting non-standard base-pairing at the 3rd anti-codon position. The record is from Rfam by way of RNAcentral. Lineage: Eukaryota; Metazoa; Chordata; Mammalia; Proboscidea; Elephantidae.